RNAcentral lists this ribosomal RNA (1440 nucleotides) under uncultured organism. RNAcentral's name for it is "16S ribosomal RNA". It matches the Rfam family "Bacterial small subunit ribosomal RNA". The record is from RNAcentral.
CAGGCUUAACACAUGCAAGUCGAGGGGCAGCAUGGUCUUAGCUUGCUAAGGCCGAUGGCGACCGGCGCACGGGUGAGUAACGCGUAUCCAACCUGCCUUACACUCUUGGACAGCCUUCUGAAAGGGAGAUUAAUACAAGAUGUUAUCAUGAGUAAGCAUUUUCGCAUGAUUAAAGGUUUACCGGUGUAAGAUGGGGAUGCGUUCCAUUAGAUAGUAGGCGGGGUAACGGCCCACCUAGUCUUCGAUGGAUAGGGGUUCUGAGAGGAAGGUCCCCCACAUUGGAACUGAGACACGGUCCAAACUCCUACGGGAGGCAGCAGUGAGGAAUAUUGGUCAAUGGACGAGAGUCUGAACCAGCCAAGUAGCGUGAAGGAUGAAGGUUCUAUGGAUUGUAAACUUCUUUUAUACGGGAAUAAACGAAUCCACGCGUGGAUUUUUGCAUGUACCGUAUGAAUAAGGAUCGGCUAACUCCGUGCCAGCAGCCGCGGUAAUACGGAGGAUCCGAGCGUUAUCCGGAUUUAUUGGGUUUAAAGGGAGCGUAGAUGGGUUGUUAAGUCAGUUGUGAAAGUUUGCGGCUCAACCGUAAAAUUGCAAUUGAUACUGGCAGUCUUGAGUAACAGUUGAGGUAGGCGGAAUUCGUGGUGUAGCGGUGAAAUGCUUAGAUAUCACGAAGAACUCCCAUUGCGAAGGCAGCUUUACUACCCUGUAACUGACAUUGAUGCUCGAAAGUGUGGGUAUCAAACAGGAAUAGAUACCCUUGGUAGUCCACACGGGAAACGAAUGAAUACUCCCUGUAGGCAAUAUACAGUCUGCGGCCCAACGAAAACAUUAAGUAUUCCCCCUGGGGAAUACCCCCGCAACCGUGAAACCCAAAGGAAUUGACCGGGGCCCCCACAACCGAAAGAACAUGUGGUUUAAUUCGAUGAUACGCGAGGAACUUUACCCGGGCUUAAAUUGCAACCGAAUAUGGCGGAAACGCUAUAGCUAGCAAUAGCGGUUGUGAAGGUGCUGCAUGGUUGUCGUCAGCUCGUGCCGUGAGGUGUCGGCUUAAGUGCCAUAACGAGCGCAACCCUUGCCGAUAGUUACUAACAGGUUAUGCUGAGGACUCUGUCGGGACUGCCAUCGUAAGAUGUGAGGAAGGUGGGGAUGACGUCAAAUCAGCACGGCCCUUACGUCCGGGGCUACACACGUGUUACAAUGGGGGGUACAGAGGGCUGCUACCACGCAAGUGGAUGCCAAUCCCAAAAACCUCUCUCAGUUCGGAUUGAAGUCUGCAACCCGACUUCAUGAAGCUGGAUUCGCUAGUAAUCGCGCAUCAGCCACGGCGCGGUGAAUACGUUCCCGGGCCUUGUACACACCGCCCGUCAAGCCAUGGGAGCCGGGGGUACCUGAAGUGCGUAACCGCAAGGAGCGCCCUAGGGUAAAACUGGUGACUGGGGC